Molecule: ribosomal RNA, 254 nt
Filed under: uncultured bacterium
Lineage: Bacteria
Description: partial 16S ribosomal RNA
Rfam family: Bacterial small subunit ribosomal RNA
Source: RNAcentral
GACGUAGGGGGCGAGCGUUUGUCCGGAUUUAUUGGGCGUAAGCGUGCGUAGGCGGCUGCGCAAGUCGGUUGUGAAACCCCGGGGCUCAACCCCGGAACUGCAUCCGAUACUGCGUGGCUAGAGGUAGGUAGGGGGAGAUCGGAAUUCCUGGUGUAGCGGUGAAAUGCGCAGAUAUCAGGAGGAACACCGGUGGCGAAGGCGGAUCUCUGGGCCUUACCUGACGCUCAGGCACGAAAGCUAGGGGAGCGAACAGG